Molecule: ribosomal RNA, 514 nt
Filed under: uncultured bacterium
Lineage: Bacteria
Description: partial 16S ribosomal RNA
Rfam family: Bacterial small subunit ribosomal RNA
Source: RNAcentral
GAUGAACGCUGGCGGCGUGCCUAAUACAUGCAAGUCGAGCGAACAGAUGAGAAGCUUGCUUCUCUGAUGUUAGCGGCGGACGGGUGAGUAACACGUGGGUAACCUACCUAUAAGACUGGGAUAACUCCGGGAAACCGGGGCUAAUACCGGAUAAUAUUUUGAACCGCAUGGUUCAAUAGUGAAAGACGGUUUCGGCUGUCACUUAUAGAUGGACUCGCGCCGUAUUAGCUAGUUGGUAAGGUAACGGCUUACCAAGGCGACGAUAGGUAGCCGACCUGGCAGGGUGAUCGGCCACACUGGAACUGAGACACGGUCCAGACUCCGACGGGAGGCAGCAGUAGGGAAUCUUCCGCAAUGGGCGAAAGCCUGACGGAGCAACGCCGCGUGAGUGAUGAAGGUCUUCGGAUCGUAAAACUCUGUUGUUAGGGAAGAACAAAUUUGUUAGUAACUGAACAAGUCUUGACGGUACCUAACCAGAAAGCCACGGCUAACUACGUGCCAGCCGCCGCCGUAA